CAGACUGAUCCAAUUAUUACAGCUUCAUAGUAAGGUGGUGUUUGGUUGCCUAAAUGUGGCAAUAGAAUAAUUUUUUUUUUCCAUUUCUAACUUGGAAGAGGAUUCUUCCAACAAUUUUUCAUUUAGGGAAUGCACCACACUCUCGAUGUGCGUACAGAGAAGAUGGCUGGCUGGCUGGAUCCAGGGUUUUAAUGUUUCCAGGUGAGGAAGAGGAGCUUUAGGAAAGGAUAUAAAUCUACUCCCAAAGUUGUACACAGAGAACGGUGGAGUUGGGAUCGAACUUGCAUCUCUGCGGACAACCUCAUUGAUGAAGGCAGGGACUCGCUGAGGUUACGUGAACCGGUCUCCAACCAUUGAUAUUGGCCCAUUUACUUAUUUCACAGGACAAGAGCAUGGGAACAACCAUCUCCUGGAAUGGCCCUUCCACAGGAAGAGAGGAGGACACAUGGCACAGAGGAAGGAUGGGGCACCUGGAUUCAAAAUCUGCUUACACCAUCCACGGAGCCUGGGAUGUUGAAGAAUUAGUUUUUUCUCUUGGAACUUGCUUUCCUUACUUGUAAAAUAAAGUUAAUCCUACAAACA
RNAcentral lists this long non-coding RNA (582 nucleotides) under Homo sapiens (human). RNAcentral describes it as "long non-coding RNA NONHSAT181331.1". The record is from RNAcentral. Lineage: Eukaryota; Metazoa; Chordata; Mammalia; Primates; Hominidae.